RNAcentral lists this ribosomal RNA (253 nucleotides) under uncultured bacterium. RNAcentral's name for it is "partial 16S ribosomal RNA". It matches the Rfam family "Bacterial small subunit ribosomal RNA", at positions 524 to 776 of the family's 1533-position model. The record is from RNAcentral.
UACAGAGGUCUCAAGCGUUGUUCGGAUUCAUUGGGCGUAAAGGGAGCGUAGGUGGCGCCGUAAGUCAGGUGUGAAAUCUCGGGGCUCAACCCCGAAACUGCACUUGAUACUGCGGUGCUCGAGUACUGGAGAGGUCAGUGGAAUUGGGGGUGUAGCGGUGGAAUGCGUAGAGAUCCCCAAGAACACCAGUUGCGAAGGCGGCUGACUGGACACAUAUUGACGCUGAGGCUCGAAAGCAUGGGGAGCAAACAGG